GAUCAACGCUGGCGGCGCACAUAAGACAUGCAAGUUGAACGGACUUAAUCGAAAUAUUUAUAUUUUGAAGCGGUUAGUGGCGGACUGGUGAGUAACGCGUAAGGAACCUGCCUAUUAGAGGGGAAUAACAGUGAGAAAUCAUUGCUAAUACCGCAUAUGCCAUAGAUAUCACAUGAUAACAGUGGGAAAGGAGCAAUCCGCUAAUAGAUGGCCUUGCGUCUGAUUAGAUAGUUGGUGGGGUAACGGCCUACCAAGUCGACGAUCAGUAGCCGGACUGAGAGGUUGAACGGCCACAUUGGGACUGAGAUACGGCCCAGACUCCUACGGGAGGCAGCAGUCGGGAAUAUUGCGCAAUGGAGGAAACUCUGACGCAGUGACACCGCGUAUAGGAAGAAGGUUUUCGGAUUGUAAACUAUUGUCGUGAGGGAAGAGAAAGGACAGUACCUAAGGAGGAAGCUCCGGCUAACUACGU
This 472-nucleotide ribosomal RNA is filed under the name uncultured bacterium. Its description in RNAcentral is "partial 16S ribosomal RNA". It matches the Rfam family "Bacterial small subunit ribosomal RNA", at positions 28 to 506 of the family's 1533-position model. The record is from RNAcentral.